UACGUAGGGUGCGAGCGUUAAUCGGAAUUACUGGGCGUAAAGCGUGCGCAGGCGGUUAUAUAAGACAGUUGUGAAAUCCCCGGGCUCAACCUGGGAAUUGCAUCUGUGACUGUAUAGCUAGAGUACGGUAGAGGGGGAUGGAAUUCCGCGUGUAGCAGUGAAAUGCGUAGAUAUGCGGAGGAACACCGAUGGCGAAGGCAAUCCCCUGGACCUGUACUGACGCUGAGGUGCGAAAGCGUGGGGAGCAAACAGG
RNAcentral lists this ribosomal RNA (253 nucleotides) under uncultured bacterium. RNAcentral's name for it is "partial 16S ribosomal RNA". It matches the Rfam family "Bacterial small subunit ribosomal RNA", at positions 524 to 776 of the family's 1533-position model. The record is from RNAcentral.